AAAUUCAGUGGAAUAGACCUUUAGUGAACAGCUGAAUCAAAUGCUAACUUCAACACUCUCAAAAAAAUGUACAUUAUUUUUCCGCUCUGUCAUAUUAUCUUAAAUAACUGUACAUUAUUUGACAAGUGUUUACUUAACCGUAUUGCUACUAAGUUUACGUAAAGAAUUCAAUGACACAAUUUUAGAAUGUGAAAGAGGAAGAUCCCAGCUGUGCCCUUUGUUGUUGGCGUUGUUGGGUAAAACUGCCGGACAGGUUAAACAGGUGACAAGGUGUCAGGUUUCGGCGGCUGGUUUCUCCCACACAAGACACAGAGAGGCGGACAACAUACGAUCUUGGUCCGGAUUUACUUAUUUAAUACCAAACAUUCGCCUUCCUAACAAAUCGCCCAGCCAUGGGACAGAAGUAUGACGGGUUGUCCCAUUGUAAGCUCGCUCUGGUGUUUGCCGUGGUGAUGGACGUGCUGGGUGCGACGUCCCUGCUGGUAGGCGUCUUCGCUUCCCUAGAGAUCCAGGGCGAAGACUUUGGGGAUCUGCUGGUGUACUCCGGAGCUCUGUUGGUGCUGUUUUCCAUGGCCGGCUGGGUGCUUUGGUAUAGCGGCAACAUCGAAGGUCUGCAUUUACAAAAAGACCCGCGUGGACGGAUGGGUUCUGCUAUGGACCGACUGGCUCGCUCGGUCAGCCGGAGGAUGAGGCUCCCCACGCUGCGCAGCAGUCCCAGUUAAACGGUGGAGGCAUCGGCCUGGUUUUGAGUCUUGUUGAGCCAAAUGACUUGAAACAAAAGCAGAAUUCAGGGCUUUUCCUUCUGUCGGUUUUUUGAUUAGAAAAAGGCCCGUCAACCUUUACAGAAUAUGUAUGUUUUGAUUAAGUAUGCACACAUGCACUAGUUUAUGUAGUCUUUGAUAUUAAAACUAUCAAUGAAUGUCUUUUCUCAGCUGCCUCGUUAAGUUAUUCUUUGCUACAGGUAUAGCUCAAUAAUUUAAAACGUCCUCAAAAAGUUAAUUUCAGUAAAUCUGUUCAAAAAGUUAUGCUCACAUAUAUUCGUUGUAAAUAGAGUAAUAUAUUUCAAUAUAUAUUUAUUGCUACUUAUUUUUGAUGAUUAUGGGUCUCACUCGAUGAAAACCCAAACCCUUUGGGUCAGCUAAUACGUUAAAGAACCACAAGUUGCUUUAAUAGUGGCCUCCAGUUUGUCUGCAUUGCUGCGUCUGGUGUCCUCAUCUUCCACUUGACGAUCCCCUGGAGCAAUGGUUCCCAGUCCUGGUCCUCAAGUACCCCUGCCCUGCAUCGUUUAAAUGUUUCCUUGCUUCCAAACACCUGACUUAAAUGGAUGGUGGAUAAAAAGGUUUCCACAGCAUUUGGUGUUUGCAGAGGCGAUCAUUUGGAUCAGGUGUGCUGGAGCAGAGACUCAUCUCAUCUCAACAUGCAGGGCAGGGGUACUUGAGGAACAGGUUUGGUAGCCAAUGCUCUAGAUUGGGGUUCAGGUCAGACCAGUUUGCAUGUCAAUCAAGUAUAGCAACACCAUGAUCAUUAAAGCUGGUAUUGAUGCUUGUGGCAGUCUGGGCAGGUCCAAGGUUCUGCUGGGAAAUGAAAACAUCCUCAUCAAGCUCGUCAGUAAAGGGAAGCGUGCUCUAACAGUUCCUGUAACAGAUUAUGGACUUCUUUUGUUUUGUUUUUAAUAAGACAUACAAUAAAAAACACCAGCAGAUGAUAUGGAACCCCAAAUCAUCUGAGGAUCUUCACACUAAAAAAAAGUGUUUCAUUCAUGUUUUUUUCUCUCAAAGUCAUAAAUAUAAAUUUUUUUAAAUUUGACUUUGUGCUAUAAAAUGGCACAACAUGCCUGGAAAAUACCCACCACACCAAAUGCUCAAGAAACUCUUUCAAGGGAGACCUGAAAAUAAGCUCUGGUUAUCCCUACUGCUUGUGUACCUACUACACUUUUUCCUUCCACUGAACUUUACAUUACUACAAAGCAGUCUGAACAGCCAGCUUCUUUUUAGUGGCUUACCCUUUUUGCCAAAUGUGUUAUCAACUCUCUACUGGAAAACAAUGUCAAGUCAGUAAAUAAUAAUAACAACAAAAAAUCUACAUCUAAAGCAGUUGAAAGUAAUAUUGUAAUUUCCAGAGUCGCAAAUUUUUAAACAUGCUUAAGCUGGAAGCUAUCAUCAGAAAUAAAGACUUGAAAUAUAGCAUUGUGUGUUUUACCUUAACUGAUUUGGUUUUUUAAAUACAUUUUAAUUUAGUGACAUGAAUCUGGAUAGAGAUUUACACAAUAACAUAAAAAAUGACCAAUGCUGCAAGAUUUGAUUGAGAACCUAUACUUUAGUCUGUCCAAGAAAAAAAAAAAAAGAAAAAAAAAAGGAGGCUUCUGUGAUACGUUUGCUUAAACUUGUAAUGCCACACUAAUACUGUACACGACACUUUAAAGAACAUCUCUCCCUUAUUUUACAAGCACUAAGAAAUCACAUGAAACACUUUGAUUCAUUAGGCAAACAACAGGAAAAAUAAAUAAUUUCUUAAAGAGAUUCAAGAGAACAUUUUACACAGACGCAUUUAUAAUGUGCAAGUUGUUGCAAUUACUCCACUUGGACUUAAGAGGCAGGAUUUGAUACCUGUCCCAGGACACAAGACCACACAUCAAGUUCCCAGUUUGAAUGCAGCGUCAAAAGAUUCUGACAUGAUUGUCUUUAUGCUUAAAGAAGAAACAAACCCGCAUCCAGUAUGCCAGUGAAGUUAUGCAAACCAAGAUAAACCAAGCUUCAUGAUCCAAGGAUGGAGGAUUGUUCUACUGGAGAUCUCAGUGUUUGUGAACCUGAAUUCAUCGCUUGUGCAAAAGUUUAUCAGAUUAAAACAAAAAUUGAUAACCGAUGAAAAAUACAGACUGGGUAUAAAAAUCAGAUGAAGGCACAUAGAAAGACAUAAUCUAGUCAAACAAACAACGUACAGGACUUAGAAAUAUACAAAAAAAAAAA
Non-coding RNA from Poecilia reticulata (guppy), 2966 nucleotides. Lineage: Eukaryota; Metazoa; Chordata; Actinopteri; Cyprinodontiformes; Poeciliidae. The record is from RefSeq and is a predicted model, not a curated record.